Molecule: long non-coding RNA, 463 nt
Filed under: Pan troglodytes (chimpanzee)
Lineage: Eukaryota; Metazoa; Chordata; Mammalia; Primates; Hominidae
Description: lincRNA
Source: RNAcentral
CAGAUGGGGUUUGCAGGAGCAAUGGCUGUAGGGACACUAAGAUUUCACCCUCCAGAAGACAGCAUCUUCCUGUGCCAUGGCUAGAUCACCAGCUACCCACAGACAGCCUGAACUCCAAUUGUCUUCCUGCACAUGUGCCUUUAAAGGAACUUUUCAAAUGUAGAGGAGCCUUUAGAAGGAAGCCUUGAGCAUGAGGGCAGACCCCCCUCAUCCAACCACCACCUGACUCUGUGUGAACCUGGAACUGUUAGAAUGUCUGUGCUGUGAUAAAAGGUCAUCUCCCUACAAUGUUAUGAUACAGACCUCAAACCUACAAACAUGAGGAACUUCUGCCUCUAGGUUAACUGGUUACCCACUGUACAAGACACGUUACACACAGUCCAGGAGGCGGAGCUUCUGAGAUAUCUAGAAACAGCUUAGAGGCAAAAUGACAAAAUAAAGCAGCAACAACAAAUAAAACCAA